CACAUGUGUAGAGAGCAGCUACUGUAUAGAAAGCAGCUGCUGUGUUGAAAGCAGCUACUCUGUUAAAAGCAGCUACUGUAUUGAAAGCAGCAGUAUUGGAGGUAAAAUGACACUUCAUAAUUUAUAAUUACUGGGUAAAUAUAAAAUCAUGUACUGUAAAAUAGAUAGGAAGA
Long non-coding RNA from Myotis davidii, 173 nucleotides. RefSeq lists it as uncharacterized. The transcript has 3 exons. The record is from RefSeq and is a predicted model, not a curated record. Lineage: Eukaryota; Metazoa; Chordata; Mammalia; Chiroptera; Vespertilionidae.